This 429-nucleotide ribosomal RNA is filed under the name Gemmatimonadota bacterium. Its description in RNAcentral is "Gemmatimonadetes bacterium partial 16S ribosomal RNA". It matches the Rfam family "Bacterial small subunit ribosomal RNA", at positions 355 to 776 of the family's 1533-position model. The record is from RNAcentral. Lineage: Bacteria; Pseudomonadati; Gemmatimonadota.
UAGGGAAUCUUCGGCAAUGGACGAAAGUCUGACCGAGCAACGCCGCGUGAGUGAAGAAGGUUUUCGGAUCGUAAAACUCUGUUGUUAGAGAAGAACAAGGACGUUAGUAACUGAACGUCCCCUGACGGUAUCUAACCAGAAAGCCACGGCUAACUACGUGCCAGCAGCCGCGGUAAUACGUAGGUGGCAAGCGUUGUCCGGAUUUAUUGGGCGUAAAGCGAGCGCAGGCGGUUUCUUAAGUCUGAUGUGAAAGCCCCCGGCUCAACCGGAGAGGGUCAUUGGAAACUGGGAGACUUGAGUGCAGAAGAGGAGAGUGGAAUUCCAUGUGUAGCGGUGAAAUGCGUAGAUAUAUGAAGGAACACCAGUGGCGAAGGCGGCUCUCUGGUCUGUAACUGACGCUGAGGCUCGAAAGCGUGGGGAGCAAACAGG